This 395-nucleotide unclassified non-coding RNA is filed under the name soil metagenome. RNAcentral describes it as "partial contains 5.8S ribosomal RNA, internal transcribed spacer 2, and large subunit ribosomal RNA". The stretch from base 1 to 122 matches the Rfam family "5.8S ribosomal RNA", at positions 35 to 154 of the family's 154-position model. The record is from RNAcentral.
GAUGAAGAACGUAGCGAAAUGCGAUACUUGGUGUGAAUUGCAGAAUCCCGUGAACCAUCGAGUCUUUGAACGCAAGAUGCGCCCGAAGCCAUCAGGUUGAGGGCACGUCUGCCUGGGCGUCACAUAUCGUUGCCCAAUGCCUAUUGCAGUGCAAUAGGAAUUUCUAGGGCGAAUGAUGGCUUCCCGUGAGCGUUGUUGCCUCGUGGUUGGUUGAAAAUCGAGUCCUUGGUAGGGUGUGCCAUGGUAGAUGGUGGUCGAGUUAGAACGAUACCGAUCAUGUGCAUGCUCCCCAAAAUAUGGCCUCUAUGACCCACACGCGUCUUUUGACGCUCAUGACGAGACCUCAGGUCAGGCGGGGCUACCCGCUGAAUUUAAGCAUAUCAAUAAGCGGAGGA